Molecule: ribosomal RNA, 449 nt
Filed under: uncultured bacterium
Lineage: Bacteria
Description: partial 16S ribosomal RNA
Rfam family: Bacterial small subunit ribosomal RNA
Source: RNAcentral
AACGAACGCUGGCGGCAUGCCUAACACAUGCAAGUCGAACGAGAUCUUCGGGUCUAGUGGCGCACGGGUGCGUAACGCGUGGGAAUCUGCCCUUUGGUUCGGAAUAACAGUUGGAAACGACUGCUAAUACCGGAUGAUGACGAAAGUCCAAAGAUUUAUCGCCAGAGGAUGAGCCCGCGUAGGAUUAGAUAGUUGGUGUGGUAAAGGCGCACCUAGGCGACGAUCCUUAGCUGGUCUGAGAGGAUGAUCAGCCACACUGGGACUGAGACACGGCCCAGACUCCUACGGGAGGCAGCAGUGGGGAAUAUUGGACAAUGGGCGAAAGCCUGAUCCAGCAAUGCCGCGUGAGUGAUGAAGGCCUUAGGGUUGUAAAGCUCUUUUACCCGGGAUGAUAAUGACAGUACCGGGAGAAUAAGCUCCGGCUAACUCCGUGCCAGCCGCCGCAGUAA